Molecule: non-coding RNA, 54 nt
Organism: Salmo salar (Atlantic salmon)
Lineage: Eukaryota; Metazoa; Chordata; Actinopteri; Salmoniformes; Salmonidae
Source: Rfam
UCACAACAAUGUUGUAAGUCGCUCUGGAUAAGAGCGUCUGCUAAAUGACUUAAA